RNA transcript from Sapajus apella (tufted capuchin), 620 nucleotides. It is a transcript of the gene named 60S ribosomal protein L23a pseudogene, with no coding region annotated. NCBI's taxonomy places the organism in Eukaryota, Metazoa, Chordata, Mammalia, Primates, Cebidae. The transcript has a single exon. The record is from RefSeq and is a predicted model, not a curated record.
GCCUAUCAUGCCCCACAAAAACUACUGUGAAUCUUAUGCGCUUCAAUUCCUUACCCACUACUUCUUCCCAAACUCCUGUAGGUAACUCAGAUGGGAAGAACUCCUCAAAGAGGAGCAAAGUUAAAAGGUGACAACCGUUUUUUCACAAGAUGGCGCCGAAAGCGAAGAAGGAAGCUCCUUCCCCUCCUAAAGCCGAAGCCAAAGCGAAAGCUUUAAAGGCCAAGAAGGCAGUGUUGAAAGGUGUCCAUAGCCACAAAAAAAAGAAGAUCCGCACGUCACCCACCUUCCGGCGGCCCAAGACACUGCGACUCCGGAGGCAGCCCAAAUAACCUCGGAAGAGCGCCCCCAGGAGAAACAAACUGGACCACUAUGCUAUCAUCAAGUUUCCGCUGACCACUGAGUCUGCCAUGAAGAAGAUAGAAGACAACAACACACUUGUGUUCAUUGUGGAUGUUAAAGCCAACAAGCACCAGAUCAAACAGGCUGUGAAGAAGCUCUAUGACAUUGAUGUGGCCAAGGUCAACACCCUGAUUCGGCCUGAUGGAGAGAAGAAGGCAUAGGUUCGACUGGCUCCUGAUUACGAUGCUUUGGAUGUUGCCAACAAAAUUGGGAUCAUCUAA